UACAGAGGUCUCAAGCGUUGUUCGGAUUCAUUGGGCGUAAAGGGUGCGUAGGUGGCGGGGUAAGUCAGGUGUGAAAUCUCGGGGCUCAACCCCGAAACUGCACUGGAUACUGCCUUGCUCGAGUACUGGAGAGGAGAUUGGAAUUUACGGUGUAGCAGUGAAAUGCGUAGAUAUCGUAAGGAAGACCAGUGGCGAAGGCGAAUCUCUGGACAGUUACUGACACUGAGGCACGAAGGCCAGGGGAGCAAACGGG
Molecule: ribosomal RNA, 253 nt
Filed under: uncultured bacterium
Lineage: Bacteria
Description: partial 16S ribosomal RNA
Rfam family: Bacterial small subunit ribosomal RNA
Source: RNAcentral